RNAcentral lists this ribosomal RNA (416 nucleotides) under uncultured bacterium. RNAcentral's name for it is "bacterial SSU rRNA". It matches the Rfam family "Bacterial small subunit ribosomal RNA", at positions 359 to 798 of the family's 1533-position model. The record is from RNAcentral.
AAUUACUCGGGCGAGACUGACGGAGCACACCGCGUGAGGGAUGACGGCCUAUGGGUUGUAAACCUCUUUUCUCAGGGAGGAAAACAUUGACGUUACCUGAGGAAUAACCAUCGGCUAACUCCGGGCCACCACCCGCGGUAAGACGGAGGAUGCAAGUGUUUUCCGGAAUCACUGGGCGUAAAGCGUCUGUAGGUGGCUUAACAAGUCAACUGUUAAAUCUUGAAGCUCAACUUCUAAAUCGCAUUCAAAACUGUUAGGCUAAAGUAUAGUAGGGGUAAAGGGAAUUUCCAGUGGAGCGGUGAAAUGCGUAAAGAUUGGAAAAAACACCGAUGGCAAAGGCACUUUACUGGGCUAUUACUGACACUCAGAAACAAAAGCUAGGGUAGCAAAUGGGAUUAAAUACCCCCAGUAUUCAA